RNAcentral lists this ribosomal RNA (491 nucleotides) under uncultured bacterium. RNAcentral describes it as "partial 16S ribosomal RNA". It matches the Rfam family "Bacterial small subunit ribosomal RNA", at positions 29 to 507 of the family's 1533-position model. The record is from RNAcentral.
AGUGAACGCUGGCGGUAGGCCUAACACAUGCAAGUCGAACGGCAGCACAGUAAGAGCUUGCUCUCACGGGUGGCGAAUGGCGGACGGGUGAGGAAUACAUCGGAAUCUACUUUUUCGCGGGGGAUAAUGCAGGGAAACUCACGCUAAUACCGCAUACGACCUACGGGUGAAAGCAGGGGAUCUUCGGACCUUGCGCGAUUGAAUGAGCCGAUGUCGGAUUAGCUAGUUGGCGGGGUAAAGGCCCACCAAGGCGACGAUCCGUAGCUGGUCUGAGAGGAUGAUCAGCCACACUUGAACUGAGACACGGUCCAAACUCCUACGGGAGGCAGCAGUGGGGAAUAUUGGACAAGGGGCGCUAGCCUGAUCCAGCCAUACCGCGUGGGUGAAGAAGGCCUUCGGGUUGUAAAGGCCUUUGUUGGGAAAGAAAAGCAGCAGGUUAAUCCCCCGCUGUUCUGACGGUACCCAAAGAAUAAGCACCGGCUAACUUCGUG